UACGUAGGGUGCGAGCGUUGUCCGGAAUUAUUGGGCGUAAAGAGCUCGUAGGCGGUUUGUCGCGUCUGUCGUGAAAGCUUGGGGCUUAACCCCAAGUCUGCGGUGGAUACGGGCAGACUAGAGGCAGGUAGGGGAGAACGGAAUUCCCUGUGUAGCGGUGAAAUGCGCAGAUAUCGGGAGGAACACCGGUGGCGAAGGCGGUUCUCUGGGCAUGUACUGACGCUGAGGAGCGAAAGCGUGGGGAGCGAACAGG
RNAcentral lists this ribosomal RNA (253 nucleotides) under uncultured bacterium. RNAcentral describes it as "partial 16S ribosomal RNA". It matches the Rfam family "Bacterial small subunit ribosomal RNA", at positions 524 to 776 of the family's 1533-position model. The record is from RNAcentral.